RNAcentral lists this microRNA precursor (88 nucleotides) under Nematostella vectensis (starlet sea anemone). RNAcentral describes it as "microRNA nve-mir-2041a precursor". The stretch from base 10 to 77 matches the Rfam family "mir-2041 microRNA precursor family". The record is from miRBase by way of RNAcentral. Lineage: Eukaryota; Metazoa; Cnidaria; Anthozoa; Actiniaria; Edwardsiidae.
AUCCUCGGAAACCCAGGGGUAUUUUGCUCUUACGUUUCACUCGCGAGUGAAACGUUAGAGCAAAAUACUCCUGGGUUUCCGAGGAUGA